This 253-nucleotide ribosomal RNA is filed under the name uncultured bacterium. Its description in RNAcentral is "partial 16S ribosomal RNA". It matches the Rfam family "Bacterial small subunit ribosomal RNA", at positions 524 to 776 of the family's 1533-position model. The record is from RNAcentral.
UACGGGGGGGGCAAGCGUUGUUCGGAAUUACUGGGCGUAAAGGGCGCGUAGGCGGCCUUCUAAGUCGGACGUGAAAUCCCUCGGCUUAACCGAGGAACUGCGUCCGAUACUGAAAGGCUUGAAUCCGGGAGAGGGAUGUGGAAUUCCAGGUGUAGCGGUGAAAUGCGUAGAUAUCUGGAGGAACACCGAUGGCGAAGGCAAUCCCCUGGGCCUGCACUGACGCUCAUGCACGAAAGCGUGGGGAGCAAACAGG